Papio anubis (olive baboon) is the source of this 147-nucleotide unclassified non-coding RNA. It matches the Rfam family "Metazoan signal recognition particle RNA". Rfam says of the family: The signal recognition particle (SRP) is a universally conserved ribonucleoprotein. It is involved in the co-translational targeting of proteins to membranes. Lineage: Eukaryota; Metazoa; Chordata; Mammalia; Primates; Cercopithecidae. The record is from Ensembl.
GCCGGGCGUGGUGGCGGGCGCCUGUAGUCCCAGCUACUCGGAGGCUGAGGCGGGAGAAUGGCGUGAGCCCGGGUGGUGGAGCUUGCAGUGAGCCGAGAUCGCGCCACUGCACUCCAGCCUGGGCGACAGAGCGAGACUCCGUCUCAA